UACUUGAAGUCGGAGCAGACUGGCAGGG
Molecule: small RNA, 28 nt
Filed under: Bombyx mori (domestic silkworm)
Lineage: Eukaryota; Metazoa; Arthropoda; Insecta; Lepidoptera; Bombycidae
Description: ovarian small RNA-21641
Source: RNAcentral